AUGCUUACCUGGAAGGGGAGACACCACGAUGACGAAGGUGGUUUUUCCAGGACGAGGCUUAUCCAUUGCACUCCGGAUGUGCUGAGCCCUGCGAUUUCCCCAAAUUUUCCCCAGGGAAACUCGACUACAUAAUUGUGGUAGUGGGGGACUGCGUUCUCGCUCUCCCCUG
This is a small nuclear RNA of Echinops telfairi (small Madagascar hedgehog), 169 nucleotides long. RefSeq annotates it as U1 spliceosomal RNA. The record is from RefSeq and is a predicted model, not a curated record. NCBI's taxonomy places the organism in Eukaryota, Metazoa, Chordata, Mammalia, Afrosoricida, Tenrecidae. The transcript has a single exon.